RNAcentral lists this long non-coding RNA (351 nucleotides) under Fragaria vesca (wild strawberry). Its description in RNAcentral is "long non-coding RNA (FVES_LNC001893)". The record is from RNAcentral. Lineage: Eukaryota; Viridiplantae; Streptophyta; Magnoliopsida; Rosales; Rosaceae.
CAAUGAUUACCAUCUAGUACGUAGAUCAAAAGCCUCAUAUUGAAAUACUGUUGGGAAUUCCUUUUCCGGUGAGUCCACCCUCUCUAGAGUAAUCUGAGGUGCUGGGAUAGAGCAAGGUAUAAGGCAUCUUGAUGGGCCCAACUCUGUUCUUUAGUCUCUCAUCUCUGUUCCUUUCUGUAAUUCUCUUCUCAAUUUCUAUCAGCUUCUCUCCAAAUCUACCAAAUGCUGCUAGGGCCUCACCAUCCGAAGUCCACUCAGGAGUAUCUCUUUGUCCAAGAUAAAUCUCAUCAGUUGCAUGUCGAGAUAAGACCUCUAUCAGAGAUACACCAAGAAGAGUUUGGAGCUGAGAUG